RNAcentral lists this long non-coding RNA (41437 nucleotides) under Gossypium barbadense (sea-island cotton). Its description in RNAcentral is "long non-coding RNA (GBAR_LNC015077)". Lineage: Eukaryota; Viridiplantae; Streptophyta; Magnoliopsida; Malvales; Malvaceae. The record is from RNAcentral.
UUCACAUAACUGGCGGGCAGGUAGAUUUCCCCACCAACUUCACCAUGUUGUUCACCGCUAACUGUUUUCUUAGCAGCCAGGAAUUCAGCACUCAUAGCAUCCAUCCCAUGUUGCAUAGCUUCCUCGGGGUUCCCGUAACCAUGCUCCUCAGCGUACUUUCGAACAUCCUCUGUUAUCUUCAUUGAGCAAAACUUCGGUCCACACAUGGAGCAAAAGUGAGCCACUUUGGCACCUUCGGAUGGCAGGGUUUCGUCAUGGAAGGACAUGGCAGUCAUGGGGUCCAGUGACAAAGCAAACUGGUCCAUCCAUCGGAACUCAAAUCUAGCCUUGCUUAAUGUAUCAUCCCAUGCCUGAGCAUGUGGAUGACCCUUGGCUAAAUCAGCAGCAUGGGCAGCUAUCUUAUAAGCUAUUACACCAGCCUUUACAUCAUCUCUGUUUGGCAACCCAAGGUGCUCCUUUGGAGUUACAUAACACAGAAGUGCUGUGCCAAGAGCCCCAAUAUUGGCUGCACCAAUUGCAGAAGUAAUAUGAUCGUAUCCAGGAGCAAUAUCAGUUGUCAAAGGACCAAGGGUAUAGAAAGGUGCUUCAUUGCACCACUCAAGCUGCUUUUGCAUAUUUUCUGGAAUCUUGUGCAUUGGGAUGUGUCCAGGUCCUUCAUUCAUUACCUGAAAAGCGCCAAAAAAAAAUCAUGCUGAAGUUAUAAGAUAAUCAAAACCAUGUAAAGCCAGUAAUACGCUUCAAAUUGAGCAGUACUUUAGAAACAUUUUAUGAACAGAAUGCUAAAGGAGCACUUCCAAGGUGCAUUGAGAUACCUGUACGUCCUUUUCCCAAGCCCUACGAGUCAGUUCCCCUUGGGUUAAAAGCUCAGCAAACUGUGCAGUGUCAUUGGCAUCAUAUAUGGAUCCAGGUCUUAGUCCAUCCCCGAUUGAAAGCGCCACAUCAUAUUGGUUGCAGAUAUCAAGUAUGUCAUCCCAAUGCUCAUAAGCAAAAUUCUCCUUAUGGUACGCCAGGCACCAUUUUGCAUGAAUAGAUCCUCCUCGAGAAACUAUUCCUGUCAUGCGUUUUGCUGUUAAGGGAAUGUACCGCAGCAGUACCCCAGCAUGGAUUGUGAAGUAAUCUACACCCUGCUCAGCUUGCUCAAUCAGGGUGUCCCUGAAGACUUCCCAACUAAGAUCUUCAGCAAUCCCAUUGACUUUUUCAAGUGCUUGAUAGAUUGGCACGGUCCCAACAGGCACAGCAGAGUUACGUAGGAUCCAUUCACGGGUUUCAUGAAUGUGGCGCCCAGUUGAGAGAUCCAUAACAGUAUCAGCACCCCACAUUGUUGCCCAUUGGACCUUGUAAACUUCCUCCUCAAUUGAACUUGCAACGGCUGAGUUUCCAAUAUUUGCAUUUACUUUGACCAAAAAGUUUCGUCCAACUAUCAUUGGUUCCAGCUCUAAGUGCUUUUUGUUGGAAGGAAUGAUCGCCCUCCCACGGGCAACCUCUGACCUAACAAAUUCUGGGUCAAGCUUCUCACGAGUAGCACAGUAUAACAUUUCCUCAGUAAUGAUUCCCUGCUUAGCAUAGUACAUCUGAGUGUAUCUAGGUGCACCCAGUUUUUCCCGUCUGUCAACCCAGCCCUUGCGCAAUUUAGGGAGUCCUGUUUAAAGAUGUCAAGUACAAAACUUAGCAUUUAACUUAACCAUAAAACUAUAAAAAUAUCAAAAGAUCCAAUAUAUGAAAGGAACAUAAAAUAAUCAGAGUGGAGUAAAGACCCAAACAAACAAUCAAAGAUUUAUCAAGAACAUAUAAGAGGGGAGUUGGCUAAGCAAAACAAAGUGAAGAAAAGCUAAUGUCCUUCAAAAAGGAGCAAGAAGCUGAGAGUAAGGUUGAGCAUCCUACCAAUGCGUGGAUUGAUGUUUUGAGGACCACUGGUGUCAUAUGUGUCGAAGUUUGGCACAUCUCCAGUCAAAUGAACCCUUCGAAAGGGAACCUUGAGUACAUGGCCAGAUUCUUCAUGAAUAACUUCCCUGAAAGGUUCAUCACGCAUAAAAAAUAUUUUCAAGCAAAAGGGAAAGAAAACAGAACCAACAAAUUGCAUAUAUAUAACUAAAUUAACCUGCAUUCUUUUGAGCUCUUUGGGAAACAUUCUUCAAAUGAUGGAAGUGGCAUAAAGUCAGGGGAAGCAGGAUUUAUGGUAUGCUUCUUCUGUUUGCUUUUCUCUGAAUUGGUUGUUGGAGGAUCAAAAGUUAAUGUGGCUUUAGGACCUGAGCUCAUAGAAGGGCAUAUUUCCUUCUUACAAGCAUUUGAAACACGACCAACCACAUCAAAGCCAGGUAAGAAGGUCGUACAAGGAAACCUUGAAGGAGCAGAAUGGUUGCCAUUCUUGCAUACAACUGAUGUGAAGCUAGCAUGCACCGAUGUCAUAUCUGGAUUGUCCAAGCAUGUCAUGAGUUAUCAAUAAAUCAUAACCACACAAUCAUCAAAUGAUUAACUAUACAUACAACAUCGAGAACAAACAUAAUUGAUAAAUGCAGCACGUGAAGGUCGAAUUUGAUUAGAAAAAAAGCAAUCAUCGUUGCCUACUCUUGAGAAUAAAAAUAACAAAUUUGUACACAUUAUAUAUACAAAUAAAUUAACUAAUGGCAUAAAAGAUAAAUCUAGAAUGAAAAAGAAAAAAUGCCGCGUUAAUCAGCAUUACCAGCAAGGACAAAAGGUCUAUACUCUAUAGUAUUUCAAACUUCAUAAAGUUUUCAUCAGAUAAACAGAAGAAUUCUAGUCUAGUUUCUAAUAAAUAAUAAUCUAAGGGACACCACGAUGGACGUAAAUGUGAUUACAUAGUUCUAUGCAUUUCAGUGAAAACCCUCGAUCUACAAUAUAUAUGCAAUAUAUAUGUCUCCUGGUUCAGUGUGCUGUGUAUUCAUAUAAAAUGCUAAAGAAAACGCAUAAUCUUGGAUAUUUUGCACAAGUAAACAUUUCUUUUCGUAUAGAUCAAAAUUUGAAUUUCUUCAGAACUAAAAUAGAAAGGCAUUCAAAAUUAAUAAGCACAGAGCAUAUCCAUUAAGAUUUAAGAAGACUUCUCAUACAAAUCCAACCGCUGAUCUAUAACUUACCAUUAUCACUUAUAAAUAAUUAACUUACUAUAAUCGCAGAAAACGUUACCAAAAUUAAGAAGAAAAAACAACAGCUUCCUUAGUGGUUCAGUGUAUCUGAAUAACAGGGCAGUACAAAUAAAAAGAAAGAAAGAAAAACACGUAAAAUUACAAGCCUAUGUUUGAAUUAAACCAGCAUGCAGUGAUCUAGAAUAAAAAGAAAAUGUGCUGUUUAUUUAGAUUUAAUUUAAUUUUCUCACCAGCCAAACAAACAAAAGAAAUUUAAAAAAAAAAAAAAGAGUGAAGAAAGAGGAGGAACCUGGAAGAUCUUAUCCCUUUUAAGCGUCUCUAAAGUGGAGCGUGAGAGAGCUCUCUAAUAAGAACUGAGCACUCGUCGUUCACUGGCUUCUUCCAUUUAUAUAGGUAAAAGAGCGACAGAAACAUUUUUUUUCCCUCUCAAAAAUAAUGAAAAAGCGCAUGCUUACGUGGUGCAUUUAUUAGAUAUUUUCUAUAUACAUUUUUAGAGUUAAUUUCAUUAUAUGUCCUUAAACUAUAAUUUAUAUUUUAAAUUAGUCCUCAAACUUUAAAUCAUUCUAAUUUAAUUUUUUAAAGCAUCGACAUCGUAUCAAUUGCUUCCUUCCAUCAGCCCAGUUGUCAACAUAGACAUAAAUGUUAACUCAAAUUUGACGAGGAUCAUAUUUAAAACAAAUAUGUCAAAUUCUAAAUACAUCUGUGUUUAUCAUAUAAAUAGUUUAGAUAUAACGUGUUAAAAGGAAAAAAAUAUAAUUUUCUUAAAUUUUAAUAAUAAUAUUUUUUUAACGCAUCAAAUUUAUUGUUAAUGCAUUUGGUAUAGACAUGAUUAAACUUUGAUCCAUAUGUUUUAAAUAUUCUUCAUAUUGAAUUCGAGUUGACAUUUAACACCCAAAUUUGAUAUUAGACUGAUGAAAAAACAUAAUUGAUACAAUAUUUGAUACUUUGAGAAUUCAAAUAAAACACUUUAGCUACAUUUGGUAGGAGUAUUAUUUUUUCUGCAUGUUUUAGUAUACGAGUGAAUAAUAAAUUAAUUCAUUUGGCAAGAUUUAAUCAUUCCCGUACCUUAUUUUUAGUAAAGAAAAGGAAAAAUAAUUUAUUUAUUUUGAAGAGGUCUAUUUUUUACGAAAAAUUUUACUAAUUUUUUUAUUUUUAAAUUUAAAAUUGUACUAACUAUUUUUUUAUUUUAUGUCUAUAAUAUGAAUAUUAUAAAUAAGAUUUUCCUCAAAUUAAACCAAACAUUUAAAAUUGGAAUGUUUGUAAAAGACCUCAAUCCCUACUCGUACUAUUUUACGUUAAUCUUGAAUUAAUUAUUUUAUUGUUGAAAUCAAGGAUAGGGAAUUAAAGGAUGACAUUGGGCCACCUGCUUGGUAAACAGGUCAAGUGGACUUCUUUGUUUGUUUCCCGAGAAUGCGGACGAAAGAACGAAACUGUGAUCUGAAAGCAACAUUGAUAUUUUUGAGGGCCAAAAUAUCAAACCUCAACCUACUCACCACCCUUCAUUCUUCUCAACUCCUCAUGUUCUAGGGCCAGCUUCGCCUAUUGCUAAGAUAUGUUUGUGAAAAGUUCAAUUUAAAAAGGACGGUUUUAAUUUAAAGUUAAACUUUCAAAUGAAAAAUUAAAAUGUCUAAUGUUAAAAAUUAAAAAAUUAAAAUAAAUUAGAUAUCAUAAAAUAUAUUUUUAAAUAAUUAAUAAAUUAUUUGUAAAUUUAAUUAGACAUGAAAUAUUUUAAAAUUUUAAAUAUAAUAAUAAAUCAUAUUUAAUUAAUUUAAUAUGAUGAUACAUGAAAUAUAAAUUAAUCCAAAAUUUUAUAUACAUUUUAAAUAGUUAAUAAAAAACAAGAUAUUUUGAUAAUUUAUACUUUAAAAUGCAAAAGUCAAAAAUACCGUAACCCCACCCUUAAUUAGAUGAUGGCUUUUGCUUUCAGUUGGUAAAACUUCUAAUUUAGGCUCAGUUUUAAAAUGCGUUAAAAAGAUUCAAUUAACUGAAAAGUAAUAUUUUCAAUAUCUUAAAUUUUAACUCAGAAUGCAAAUAAUUAGACAGACUUAAAUUCAAUAAAUUCAAUUGUUUUAUUAUUUCAUUUAAGAUCAUAUUAUCUUUUAUUAAACAAUUUAAGUAUAUUAAAUAUUUAAUUUUAACAUAUUUUAUAAAACUUUUCAAUUAUCAAACAUAGACUUAUACCCCCUAAUGCUUUCCUAUGUAAAAAUCUAAAAUAAAUCAAUUAAGAACAUUUGGAUAAACAUAAAUAGAUUUUUAAUUUUGAUUCACACCGAUUUAACCUGAUUUAACACUAAAAGGCAACAAACCAAAACAAUCGUAACUCAAAAUGGUCCGAACAAUUAACCCAAAAGAACCAACAUGAACUAAAAUAACCCAAACUAGAAAGAAUCAAACCUGAAAUCACUUAAACUCUAAAUUAGACCAAACCAAAAUGAUUUGAUAAUUUAACAAUACCCAAAACCAACCUGACCUGCUGAAUUGACAGAUAUAAUAUAAGAUCAAUUAUUAAAUGUAUCAAAAUCCUAAAUACAAAACAUGAGUGUUGAGCAUAUCAUAUUAGUUUGUUAAUUAUACUGUUUUUAUAUUUUUAUUUGAUGUGUCAUGUUCUCGGACAAAGGAAAUUACACUUCUGGUUUCAUGUCAAAGCUCAAAAAUAAUGUUUAGUUCCAUUUUGGGAAACUAUUAUUAACAGCAUGUAUUUUCUACAGCAUACUAUAUGUACAAUGUUCUUCUGAAGACAAAACAUUUUUUAACCCAACAUUAUUAUGUGCAAUAAUCUUAUAUUAUAUUUCACAUAAUAAUUAUUGUACAACUCAAUUACUGUUAAAACUCCACCCGUUAUGACUGAUAAAAAUAAUAGCCAAUGUACAACAGAACAGACGGAGACCAACCUGAACUUAUCACCAUAAUAUCAAGAACGGGGAGACAAGCUUGAAGGAUUUUUCGGGAAAUAAAUAUUCAGCUUCACCACUUCCUUCUCUAUGUUUCCUCUGGUAAGUGUAGUGAGAAUAAAAUAAUGAAAAGACUUCGUAGUGUUAAUACUAAAGCCAGGACUCACCUUGCUGAAAUACGAAAAAAAAAAGCGCAAGGGAGCUUUGAUGCCGGUAGCCACAGCAUGGUCAUUGACAAGGUGCAAGGAAAGAUAUAGUCAGUUGGUUCAAUGCAAUGCUCAAUGUUGACAAGCAAUGAGCAAAACACUUAUCCAGAGCCCGCUUGAACCGGCAGAAGAGACUCUUGCUUGCCUUCAACGAAGAUGAUUAGUUCCUUUGGUGCAACAACCAAUUUCAACCAUUUUUGUAGCUCUUCUCCUUCUACUUUCUCAUUUUCUGAAUAAAGCGAAGCAUUAGACCAUAGUAUGAAGUAAAGAGUGAUCAUUUGUUCUCCUUUCCCCUUUUUAAAGAUGCAGAAUAUUGAUUUCACAACAAAAAUUAAACUGUUUGAAUAGUGUGGAUGUUAUCUACACUAGGAUAUAAACUACAUCAGUACUAAGAUAAUUUAAACAAAACAAUGCUGAAUAGCAUUAAAGAUCUGACAAGUAGUACUGAAGAGUUCAUCAGGGAAAAUUGUCAAAAUAGCAAUACAUAUUUCAUCAAACAGCAAACAAGUAGGGAAAGUCAGCUAUCGGAAUCAUCUACCUAUUAGAUCCCUUGUAAGUUUUCAUUAGAUUUUAUUUUCUGAAAAAUACGUCAAGUCUAUAACUUAUAGCAAAGAAUGAAAAAACAAAUUGGAUGAUCAGGAAUUUUGACAUACAAAACAGGUAGCAAAAACAGAUUACCUUCCAGGUGAGCACCAAGCCCUUCCAAAACAGUUGGAUUAGCACGUACAACAGAAAGGGCUACUUCAUGGGCAGACUGUAAUAAUGCCUUCACCUCUCCUUGGACAAGAUCAACUAGAUGUCCCUGCAAGUUCCGUUCUUGAUCAGUCUUCAUUACAGACACUGUAGGAAUUGGAAACAAAAAAGAUCAACUAAACUUUAAUGAAAAAGAGUAUAAAAAAGGGACCUGAUCUCGUCCCCAAGGAACUCCACCCCCGGAUUCAUCCAUGCCUCCACCAGAAACCGUAGCUAAGGAGAGAGGCCCUAUAGUCUGAUUAAGACCAUAUUCAGCUACUGCCUUGUAUGCCAUGUCUGUCGCCCGCCUAAUAUCAUCAAGUGCACCAGUAGAAACACGACCUGAAUAGAUAACUUCCUCUGCAGCGCGUCCACCAAGAAGAGUAACCAAACGGCCACGUAACUCAUCAAUGAAGAGUAAAUAUCUGUCCUCAUUGGUAGGAGGAAUAUAAGUAAAGCCCAAUGCUCCUCCAGAUCUUGGCAGUAUGCUCAGUUUCUGCAGACAAAAAGAGUUGACUAGUUACCAUAUUAUCCAUUUCAAGUGAACAAAGCCGCAGGGAUGAUUUAAGUCCAUUGUGACAACUAUUGAACUACCCAACCUUAAUAAGUUAAACAUUAUUGUUCUUAAUUCCAUGUAUAACCAAAGAUCAAGUGGACCUCCCGCUUGUACCAAACAAGAUUAAAAAUUUUGCAUAACAAGUAAAGAAAUCUAAUACUUCAAUUUCAGUCUAAUUUUCAAAAUGUUGCUUGAAAAUUUGAAAAUAGUAUACUACUGUUUCUGAGGUCAGCGUUGUACUCUAGGUCUUGACAGACCUUCCCAAGUACCAAAAGAGAAACAAACAAUUAGGAAGGUCAAUAGCUAAGAAGCCAAUUAUCUUCUUAACAAGGAAGAUAGAAAUUAUUGCCCUGGGACCGUCUCUGGUACAUGACGUGAACAGUACACACUCCUAAACCAAAUGCUACACAGCACAAGCUCAGAACUUAAGAUUCCAUUCAAAUUUCAUAUAUUUUCUUUUAUCAUUUUCAAAUUUCAAAUUGUGUUAAGAAGAACAAACAAAGAAAAAAAAAGUGAUUAAGUAAAUUAUUGCCAUUGUUUACCUCAACACGUGGCUGUCCAUGAAGAAGGUUUGCAACAGCUGUACCUACUACUGCAUGGCCAGCUUCAUGCCUUGCAACCACAGCCUUCUCACAUCCCUUCAAUUUGGCAGUUUUCUUCUCUAUGCCCUAUGAAAUAUCAUUCUUUUCGUCACUCAAUUUUAGUUUAGUAUUUUCUCAUAAUUCUUUAGUAAAAUUACACAUCUUGCGAGACAAAUGUCUAAGAGGAACUGUGUAAAUCGCAGUAGAUUGGAGAAUAUCCUUUCCCUAGGGAUAGUCUCAUUAGAAAGUGCAAAAAGCAAUAUAAAAGGAUUGCAUGAAAACUCCUUCUUUUUUUUUUGCCCUCAAAUAUCUGUGUUUUGUGAUAAAGUAAUUCAAAACAUGUAUGGUACAAAGUAAAACCAAUAAUCAAAGCCAAUAACUAGACUGAGAAGAUUGCAUAGCAUCAUUGGCUAUGGGAAUAAUAAUUAAAAUUAACUUUCAAGGCAAGGGAAAAUGUGAAGAAAAAUGUUUAAAAACAUUGGAGAAGGAAACAGCUGAAAACAAUGGAUGUAACAUAGUCACAACAGAAAACUGUAACAAAUAAACAAAACAAUGAUCAAAGAGAGAGAGAGAGUUACAGCUAUUGAUCGUUCUACUGCCUGAAUGAAAUCAAUCCUCUCUACAACAACUUUAUUAUUUCUUCCAGCGAGUAAGGCUGCUUCAUUUACCAGAUUUGCAAGAUCAGCCCUGCAAAAUGAAAAAAAAAAAUCAUUAAGUCAUCCCCACAUCAUCAACAAGUAGAAAUUUAUGAAGAGGAAAGGAAGCUGAAGAGGAGAUUGGGAAGCAGUGUACUUAAAUAUGACAAUGUAAAAGAGAAAAUACCCAGUAAAACCAGUAGUCAUAGAGGCAAUGUCACCAAGAUCAACAUCAUCUCCAAGGGGAAGUUCCUUCUUGGAGGCAUGCACUUUUAUAAUAGCUUCUCUUCCAAUCCUGUCAGGAGUCUCUACCUGGAAACCAUUCCAGACAUAAUAUCCAUGAGAUACGAGUUAAGCAAAAAGGAACUGGUUGAUACGGCAGAUUCCAACAUUCUGCAAGUUCAAUUGAAAUAUAGUGCAUGAUACAAACCAUAACAAUACGAUCAAAUCUCCCUGGUCGACGAAGGGCAGGAUCCAAGACAUCAGAACGGUUUGUAGCUCCAAGAACAAUCACAGCGGAAUUGCUGUCAAAUCCAUCCAUCUCCUGCAAUGUAGUUCAGAAAUGUUAGCUUCAAAGGGUAAUGGCGAAGAGGUCCACAUGAGCAGGAAAAACUAUGAUGCAGGGAAUGUUACAGUGAGUAAUUGAUUCAAAGUUUGCUCCCGUUCAUCAUUGCUAACAAUGCGAAAUUUACCAUCGCGACUUUUAGCCACGGCAUCUAUCUGUGUGCAAGGAAAGGUGUUAGAAAACUCUACUGUACAACAAAGAGGUUAAACAUAUUGUUCCAACAAAAUUAUAAUGCUCAUAGGCUGACCUCAUCAAUAAAAAUUAUUGAUGGUGCCUCCUUCUUAGCUCGUGCAAAGAGAUCUCUAACUCGUGAUGCACCCAUGCCAACAUACAACUCUACAAACUCACUUGCAGAACAACUUAUGAAUGGAACUUCUGCCUCACCAGCCACAGCUUUUGCUAGAAGAGUCUUGCCUGUCCCAGGAAGACCCACCUGCAUCACAAAUAAAAUCAUAAAUACUGACUAUAGCUUUUAGAAAAGAGGUAACCAUGCAAGGAAACCAUCAUAUAACACUAGCAUCUGAGAACUAAGUGGAAACAGUGAACAUGCUGAAAUCCAUCUGAAACUUUGUGAACUUAUCUUGACAAGAAUGACAAGUAGAAAGCUUUAGAGGACCAAAAGCUUUUGAUGAAAGACAUUCUAAGAGUAAGAGACAGAAGUAGCAAACUUAAUGCCAGAAUUUUCAGAUAUUAAUGAAGUUUUUCACAUAGGCCCUGACUUCUUAGACCAAAAGCUUCUUCAACAAUAUCAAAUAAAGUUUCAGCUAAUUUUUCCAGAAAGGCCAUCAUGCUUAAUGUCCCUAGUAUCAACUCACCAGGAGAACUCCUCGUGGAGGACGAGCACCAAGCCGUAUAUACCUGUCUGGAUUCCUAAGAAAUUCCUGGGCAGUAAACAUAAGAAUAUAAAGACAAUACUAGAACUUCAAGAGAGCAUUCACAGCAAAUAUCAAUUACUGGUAGCAUAUUAAGUGGAAUAAUAUUUAAAAUACCACAAUUUCUUCAAGCUCCUCCUUUGCCUCAUCAACACCAGCCACGUCAGCGAAAGCUAUUGUUUCACCUUGUUCAGAGACUUUUGAACCCCCAGAACUCCUUGCCUUGCCAUUCCUAAUCUGACCAGCUGUAUGCUGCAUACAUGCAUGAUUAAAUCAGAACGUAUCAGUACUACAAAAACAUUAAUGUACUCAAAGAGCUUACAAGCAAAUUCAAACCUGAGAAAAAUUCACAGGGAACCGAUGGAGAAGUCCCGCAAGAACAGCAACAUAGAACAAAGCUAUCUGCAAAAGAGAGGAAGUCAAAUCGAUAAAAUUCCACAGACGUAUACAAACACAUGAUUUAGAAAGAACCAAGUGAACGGAGUAACUGAAGGUAUUCUUGUCCCAAAUUAUAACCAAUCAUAGUCCACCAACUACAACCUCUACAUUCCUGCCACCUGAAGAGGAAAUAGAUUACCCAAUAAUAGAGGGCCCAUCAGAUCACUCUUUGAGAUUCCUAGUCCAAAGAAGGCGAGAGAAGAUCCUCUCCUCUUCUAGAUUACAUACUUCAAUCAGGCAGCCUACCACAAAAAAACUGCUACCCCCAACAAAACCAUUACCACUUAACCGGUUAACUCAUUAAGAACUCUAAGAAAAGCUUCUUCUUCUUCUUUUUUUUUUUUUAAAAAGAAGCAAUUAAGCUAGUUUCAUUCAAAUCAUGACAACAAACAAAAAACACAACUUACCAAUGCAGAGUUGAAGAAUCCACCAGAUCGCUUAUCGGGAGACCCGAACUCCACAUCGUUUUCCAGCAUCUUCUCAUAUGGAGUCUUAAUAUCACUGGGCCGAGUUGUUGUAUAUACAAUUCGCUUUGUAGGCGCCAUACUCCUCAACAAGGACUCCGACUCCUGAAACUUACCAAUUUCACUCUCUUGAACGCUCCCUUCGUUCUUCAAUUUGAACAUUACAUGAACUCCAUCAACCUCCACCUUUUGAACCUGAUUACUAUUAAUCUUAUUCAAAAACUCGCUGUAAGGAACGCUGACAAAAGUCGUCGGGGUCCUAGGCUCGGACCCGGGCAACGGAAUCCCGGGUCGGAGCAGUCGCAUAACGAACAUAACAACACCCAACUGUAAAAGCAAAACACCAAUUUCUUGAGCUUGAACUAUCGGUUGCCACUGCCAUUUCUUUCCUUUGGACCUCCACAACCCGCUUCUUCCACCCUUUUCUCCUCUCUGAUUGGUCGAACCCCCCGAAUUUGACGGACUCUGUUUCUGCGUCACUCCUUGCCCACCUUCGCUUUCAUUUUUCUCGCCGGAGCUCGCCUUCGAAUCGCUUCUGUCCGUACAAUUAGCCAAAAUUUUGCUCUCUUUGAACCUUAAUUUACCUCUUCCAUAAAGCUUUAAUCUCUCGUGGUUUCCCACAACAGCGACGUUCUUUAGGGUGGAAGUGAUAGAAUUGGGGAAGAAACGGUUCGUUUUUUGUUGCAAAACCCUAAACCGAAUGGCUUUGAAGUUUAAUCCAUGUAGAUAAAGAAGAUUAGAGUAAGAAUUUGUGCUGAAUUUACCGUGGAAUGUUAUCGUCGCCGGUCGUAGAAAUUCAGUAGAUGACAUUGCCCGAAACCUAAAAAAAUCAGGAACAAUCUUUUUUUCAAAAUAUAAAUUAAAAAUAGGAUCAUUUAUAUGUUCGUUUUAGUUAGCGUUUUUUAUCUGCAGAAAUUCGUAGAGAUAGAGACACGAUAAUAGAGCAUUAGCGAAAGAUAUUAUUAUGGGAGAAUUUGAGCCGUUGGAUUAGAGAAAAAUCAUCGAGUCUUCGUUUCAUCAGGAGCAAAAGGGCAAAGAUUAGGGGAUUAACUGCACCAAACGUCCUUAAAUUACUAUCUAAAUUUUAAAUUUGUCCUUGAAUUUUAAAAUCCUUUAUUUGUGUUCUUGAAGUAUUAAUAUUUUAUCAAUUAUGACUUUUAGUUACUAUACACAUCAAUUUUGGCAUUAAAUUCCAAUAUGAAUAUGACUAUAUCAUAUUUAAAAUAAGUAAAUCAAAUUAUAAAUAUAUUUAUAAAAUUUUUAUUUGAUAAUUUAAAAAAUAAAUGCGUAGUCUUCUUAAAUUUUAUUAACAUGUGUGCAUCUAAUGCAUUGACAAUUUUGAUUAAAUGUGAUAGGUGCAUAAUUUUUCAAUUCGAUCCAUAUGUUUUAAGAUACUCUAUAUCGAAGCUGAAUUAGUAUUUAACGCCUAAAUUAAUGGUUAGGCUAAAAAAAUGCUUUGAUUAUAUAAUAUUUAUCCUUUAAAGACUCAAUUAGAAUAUUUUGAAAUUUGAAGAUCAAAUUUAGAUUUUGAGCAAUAGUUUGAGGAUAUUUGAUGGAAUUAACCCUUGGUGUUUGGAGGAUUACAUAGAAGUUUGUGACGUGUGAUUAAGAUUGAGCGGCGACCACAUGUUUGGAACUGAUUGGUAGCCACACGCUUGGUUACAUUAGGGCCUUAGCUUUGGAUUUUUUACGGUUUUAUGGGCUUUAAUUUGGGCUAUCUUGUCUUUCCCAAAUAAUGGGCUAUUGUGCGUGCAUCCUUUUAUGAGUAAUUUGUAAUUUUCUUUAGAUUUUCAGGUGGUUUUUUUCUUUUUUGCAAUAUCUUAUAUCUAUUUUUUUUGAUACCAUUCUUAGAAUUACUCAUAGUCCCUCCUCAAUUCAUAAAUAGGAGGAUAAUAUGCUUCAGCGCAAUCUAACCCACAUCCUCCUACUUUGACAACAAUACCCAUACCAAUCGAGCUAAAACACAAUUAACUUCAUAUGAAUUUUAAUUGUAUAAUCGAAUAAUAAUAGUAAAAUGAAUUCAGGGAAUCUCAAAUUUCGGCAAGUAGAGGGCACUUAAGUAAGGUAUUAGACACAAUUGUGUUGUAUUAGUUGUAAACCUUCUUUGUUAAGAAUGGUUUGUUUUAGAGAAAAUCAUUUUUUAAAAUAAUUUUUUUUAUGUGCCACAAUCUAAUUAUUAGUUAGUUGAUGUGGAUGGUCUCUUUCCCUUCCCAACACUAACCUUACUAGAUAUAAGAGUGGAUAUAUUUUAUCGAGGAUUAAAUAGAUCUAGAACAAAUUCUUAUAAAUAAUACCAUUGUUGAUACAAUGAUUGUUUAAAGCGUUAAAAAGAGGGGAAACAAAGUUAACAUUUUUCUCAUGACGUAUAUUUUUUAAAGGGUAAAUUUAUAAAAAUGACUUUCACUCUCAAAGUAAAUGAUACAUAUAUUAUCACGGAUGUAAUUUGACGAUUCUUACAUCAAUAUUGUUGUCAGUGUAGAAGGACGUGAGUUUAAAUGUGCUGAAGUGCAUUAUCCUCUUAUUUAAGAGUUGAGGAGUGAUUAUGGGUAGUUUUAGGUAUUGUAUAAAAAAAUGCAGAUAUGAUUAAAAAUCUAUACUAAGAUUAAUGUUAAAAAAUAAUAAUAUUUUUUAAUUCAUUAAUAUUAAUUAAUAGAAAUGUAAAAACUAUCUAAUUUAACAGGCACAAGAUUCAAUUUAACUUUUGCUUAGGUUCUGGAUAGUUUUUUGGAACUAUGGCGGCAAUAAUACAUUUCGGUGUAGCCAAAAAUUUUCCAACUUCUCAUUUUCUAAUCAACAAAAAUACAUGCAAGUAAGAGCCAAUAAUUAAAUAUUAAAUUUUAUAGAUGUGGGUGAAAAUAAAUUUUAAUAUUAAAAUUAUAUUUUUAAAAAAACCAAAAGAAAAAUAACAACAAUUGAGUUUUAGGCAAAAUGAAUACUUUUCUAAAAUUUAGGUUCAAAUCUUAAAUACGGUAUUUUUAGUUCAUUUGUGUAAACAUUUAAUAUAGAAAUAGUAAAAGACGAAAAUACCAUUAUAUUAAUAUAUUCCAUCCUUUUUUAAAAAUGGCAUUAAAGUGAUUUCUUUGAAUGAGUUGGUGAUGAGUUGACUCGUAACACCAACUUAAUCAAUUGCAUUAUUCUUAAUUGGUGAAGAUAAUAAAUUGUACAUAUUAAAAUAAAAUUUUGUAAAAGUAUAAAAAUGAAGUUUUGAUUGAAUGAUAAAUUUAAGGUUUUACUAAUUUAAUUAACUUAGGUUCAAAUUUCAUCAUAUAGAGAAACUACACAUCAAAUAUUGUACACUAAAAGUGAAGUGAAUUUAGCAACAAUCUGGAAAAAGUCUUCAAAUUGUAUAAAGACGUUCGUUACCGAUCAAGGCGAGUGGUGAAAAUUUUGAAUUCUCUAAAGAUCGAUCAACCAAAAAAGUGAGAUUCAAUGAAUCGAAUAUAGAUGGGGCCGUCGAUAUGGCAGUGGAUUUGGAACCCAAGUCAACACUUUCCUGAAAAGACAAAUUGUUAGGUGGUUUAGCAAGUGGAGCUAGGCGUCAGAGAAUCAUUAUGAUUUUGGAGAUGAUGAAGAGAUCGAAUUGUAGGACAGGAUCUAUGGUGAAUGGAAUUCCUGCGAUUAACUUUUCUGAAAGAUUUAAUCAAUUGUUGAUUAAAGACAUGGCCACCACGGUGGUCUUCAAGCUCUUAGGACGAUCCAUCGAAUAUACAACCCUACAAAACAAAAUCAAUAGUCUUUGGCGACCCCCAUCUCCAUUUCAGUUAAUGGAUAUAGAAAAUAGAUAUUUUCUAGUGAAAUUCUAGAAUAAGGAUGAUUUUGAGAAAGUUUUAUCUCAAGGUCCAUGGAUCAUUUACGGGAAAUACCUUAUAGUGCAGUCUUGGACUACGGACUUUAAUCUGAUGCAACCUUAUCCGAGUGUUGUGAAGGCAUGGAUUAGACUCUCAAGUUUCUCAAAUUUCUUUUAUAAACAUAGGAUCCUUGAAGAGUGUAACACCCCUUACCCGAGACCAUUUCCAGAGUCGAGCUCGAGGCAUUACUUUACUUAACUUAAAAAUUCAGGGCAUAAAAUUUUACUUUUAAAAUUAAUUUCACUAUUCACAACAAAGCUGUCCACCUGCGCAGCAGUUACUAAUUUAGUUAUAACUCGAGUUACGAAAUUCAAAAUUUAAAUCCGUAAAUUUUUCCUGAAACUAGACUCACAUUUCUUCUUACCAUAAAUUUUUCAGAAUUUUUGGUUUAUCCAAUUAGUACAAUUUAUUAGUUAAAUAUCCCUUGUUUCACCACUCGACUAUCCUGACCUCUUGUCACUAAAAAUAAGCUUUCUCAUUGUAUGAUUUUCAUAUGGGUUCUCACUUGUUUAUACAGAAAAUAGACUCAACAAGGAAUCUAUAAAUAUAAACUACAACUCAUAACCAUUUUUGUACAAUUUUUAAUAAUUUUCUAAACUCAUAACAGAGGACUCCAAAAAUAGUUCUGACCCUGUCUCACUAAAAUUCACAUAUCUUAAAAUAUAAAAUUUAUUUUGCUACACCAUUAUUUUUCUAUGAAAGUAGACUCAAUAAGCUUUAUUUCUAUAUAUCAUUCACCUUCUAAUUCAUUUUAUACUAUCCUAGGUGAUUUUUCAAAUUCAUGUCACUGUUGCUGCUUGAAAUCUAUUUCUUUGCAAAUUUUACUCUUUCAUGAUUUCUAUGCAUGGUUCAUCACCUAAACAUUUGUAACAACAAACACCUUCAUACUUAGCCAUUUUAACAACCAUUCAUCAUCAAAUACUUACAUAUCAUUCUUUAGCAAAAUCAUAAAUACAAACAUUCAAAAUAACUAAGUCCCUAUACAUGCCAUAACCUAAACAUGGUUCAUCAUAAAAUACCGAGUUGUUAUCGUUGAUAGUGUGGACGAUCUCCGAUGUCUUUAAGUUCCCGAAAGUAGCUUUACAAUAUAUGGAGCUUGGAAGCUUGAAAACCCUAACUAUGACUUCUCCCCUUGCUAAAUUCGGCCUAAUGAAAAAGAUGAUCAAAAAUUGGCUUUUAAUUUUGUUUUUACUUCAUUUUAAUUUUAAAUGACUAAAAUGCCGUUAAUGAAAAAAUUUGGAAACAUGCCUAACCAUGUCCAUUUUUGUUCACCAACUUAACCAAUGGUCUAAUUACCAUAUAAAGACCUCCAUUUUAAAAUUUCAUAACAAUUGGACAUUUUAACAUAUAGAACUCAACUUUUGCACUUUUUACAAUUUAGUCCUUUUGACUAAAUUGAGUGCCCAAACGUCAAAAUUUUUGAACGAAAUUUUCACGAAAUCUUUCUGUGAAAUUGUAGGCCAUAGAAAUAUAAUAAAAAUAAAUUUUUCCUCAUCAGAUUUGUGGUCCUGAAACCACUGUUUCGAUAACCUUAAAUUUGGGCCAUUACAACUCUCCCCCCUUUAAGGAUUUUCAUCCUCGAAAAUCUUACUAGUAAAGAGAUUCGGGUAUUGUUUCCUCAUUUUCUCUUCCGAUUCCCAUGUCGCUUCCUUAAUCCCGCGCUUUUGCCAUAAUACUUUAACCAAUUUUAUCUUUUUGUUUCUAAGCUCCUUUGUUUCCCGUGCUAAUAUCUUAACCGGUUCUUCACUAUAAGUCAUAUCCGGUUGAAUCUCUACUUCUGUCGGAGUAAUAAAAUGUGAAGGAUCUAAUUGAUACCGUCGUAGCAUAGAUACAUGAAAAACAUUAUGAAUCCUAUCGAGUUUCGGUGGUAAUGCCAAUUGAUAAGCAACCGGUCCAAUUCUUUCUAUGAUUUCAUAUGGUCCGAUAAAUCUUAAACUCAAUUUACCUUUUCGACCGAACCAGAGAACUUUCUUCCAAGGAGACACUUUUAAUAAUACUUUAUCACCCACCUGAACUUCAAUCUCUUUUCGUUUAAGAUCAGUAUAUGACUUUUGACGAUCUAAAGCUGCUUUUAGACUAUCCCGAAUCAGCCUUACUUUUUCUUCUAUUUCCCGGAUCAAAUCAACCCCAUGUAUCUUCUUUUCACUGAGCUCUGUCCAAUAUAACGGUGUUCUACAUUUUCUACCAUAUAAAGCUUCAUAUGGAGCCAUUUUAAUACUGGACUGGUAACUGUUAUUAUAAGUAAAUUCAAUCAAAGGUAGAUACCUUUCCCAAUUACCUUCAAACUCUAAUAUACAACAUCGGAGCAUAUCUGCCAAUACCUGAAUUACACGCUCAGAUUGGCCAUCAGUCUGAGGAUGAAAUGCAGUGCUGAAAUGCAACUGAGUACCCAAAGCUUCUUGCAAUUUGUCCCAGAAACGAGACGUAAAUCGGGGAUCUCUAUCUGAUAUAAUGGAGACUGGCACUCCAUGUAGUCUGACAAUCUCAGAUAUGUACAAUUCAGCCAAUUUAUUUAAAUAAUAAUCCAUACAUACCGGAAUAAAGUGUGCGGACUUUGUCAAUUGGUCGACAAUUACCCAAAUGGCAUCUUUCUUCUUCGGAGACAUCGGUAACCUAGAUACAAAAUCCAUAGUGAUUCUUUCUCAUUUCCAUUUCGGUAUAGUGAUUGGUUGAAGUAAUCCCGAAGGCACUUGAUGUUCAGCUUUAACCUGUUGACAUACCAAACACCUUGACACAAACUCAGAGAUAUCACGUUUCAUACCCGGCCACCAAUACAUCUUUUUCAGAUAAUUGUACAUUUUAUUACUCCCCGGAUGUACAAACAUAGUACCGCUGUGGGCCUCGUGUAAAAUCUUCUGUAUGAGCUCUGUAUCCUUCGGUACACAUACUCUACCUCUGAAUAAUAAACAACCAUCACUCCCAAUCUGGAAUUUUGAAUCAUUACCUGAUUCACAAUGUACCCGUUUAGCAUGUAACUUCUCAUAAUUUUUCUGAGCCUCACAUAUUUGUUGACGAAACAUCGAUUUAGCCUUCAUUUCAGUUAUGAUUGAACUAUCAUCAGUCAGUAACAACCGGGCAUUCAUAGCUCGUAAAGUAAACAGAGAUUUUUGGCUCAAAGCAUUAGCUACAACAUUAGCCUUACCGGAUGAUAAUCAAUUCUAGCCAUCUGCGUUGUCUCAAAUUCAAAUCUUUCUGUGUCAUCAAAUACUUCAAGCUUUUAUGAUCAGUAUAAAUAUGACACUUUUCACCAUACAAAUAAUGCCGCCAUAUUUUCAAUACAAAUACAAUAUCAGCUAAUUCAGGAUCAUGUACCGGGUAGUUUCUUUCAUAUGGCUUUAAGUUGUCUUGAAGCAUAGGCUAUUACUUUAUCUUCUUGCAUCAAGACACAACCCAAACCAUUUAAUGAUGCAUCACUAUAAAUAAUAAAUUCCUUACCCGAUUCAGGCUGUACCAACACAGGUGCUUCCGUCAACAAUUUCUUCAAUCGGUCAAAACUUUGCUGACAUUUAUCUGUCCAUUCAAAUUUAACAUCUUUCUAUAAUAAACGGGUCAUCGUAGAAGCUAUCAUAGAAAACCCCUGUACAAAUCUCCAAUAAUAGCCAGCUAAACCCAAGAAACUUCUAACUUCAGAUACAUUCUUCGGUGGACUCCAAUUGACAAUAGCUGAGAUUUUACUUAGAUCUACCCUGAUGCCUUCUGUAGAUACAAUAUGUCUGAGGAAACCCACCUCUCAAAGCCAAAAUUCAUAUUUACUAAAUUUAGCAUAAAGCUUCUUUUCACGCAAAAUUUGCAACACUAUUCUCAAAUGUUCUGCAUGCUCAUUUUCACCUCGAGAAUAUACUAAAAUAUCAUCAAUGAAAACUACUACAAACUUAUCCAAGUACAGUCGAAAGAUUCAGUUCAUUAAAUCCAUGAAUAUGGUAGGAGCAUUAGUCAAACCAAAUGGCAUCACAAGAAACUCAUAGUGACCAUACCUAGUCCGGAAAGCAGUCUUCGGAACAUCUAACUCUUUAACCCGCAACUGAUAGUAACCGAAUCUCAAACCUAUAUUGGAGAACCCAGUGGCUCAUUUCAAUUGGUCAAUCAAAACAUCAAUUCUAGGCAGUGGAUAUUUAUUCCUUAUUGUUACUUUGUUAAGCUUCCGAUAAUCUGUACACAACCUCAUCGAACCGUCUUUCUUUUUCACAAAAAGCACUGGUGCACCCCACGGAGAAUAACUAGGCCUUACAAAACAUUUAUCAGUUAAUUCCUGCAACUGAGCUUUCAAUUCUUUCAAUUCCAACGGGGCCAUUCUAUAAGGAGCAAUAGAAAUGGGAGUUGUACCUAGAACCAACUUAAUACCAAAUUCAACUUCUCUAACCGGAGGCAAACUUGCCAAUUCUUCCGGGAACACAUCUAAAUACUCACGUACCACUGGCACUGAUUCAAUUUUCAACUCUGGAUCUUUAGUGUUCAAUACAAAAGCAAGAUAGGCUUCACACCGUUUUCUUAAACAUUUCUGAGCAGACAUAACAGAAAUCAUAGAGAGAGAACCAUCUGACUCAUCUGAAUCAAUCCGAAUAAUAUCACCAUUUUCACAUUUCAACUCAAUGUAUUUCUUUUCGCAAUUCACUAUCACAUCAUGGGCAGUCAACCAAUCCAUACCAAGAAUCACAUCAAACUCGUCAAACGACAAUAGCAUGAGAUCGGCCGAAAAACAGUGACAUCUAAUCAUCAAAGGGCAACUCUUACAUACUUUAUCUACUAACACAUACUGGCUUAAUGAAUUUGAUACUUUAAUUACAAAUUCAGUGGAUUUUACAGGCAUGUUCAUACUAGGCAUCAAUCUCAUACAAACAUAGGAAUGAGUCGAACCUGGAUCAAUUAAAGCAAUAACAUUAGUAUCAUAGAGAGAAAAUGUACCCGUAAUCACAUCAGGGGAGGAUACCUCUUCUCGAGCACGAAUAGCAUAUGUUCUUGCGGGUGCUCUAACAUCUGAUCUAGCUGCUGAGUCUCUAGACGUACCCCUGUUACUUGUUCCAACUCCCGGGUUCCUCUAUGAUCUGCGUUUAGUAGGAGCAUUUCCUAAUCUUGCACUCAAUAUUGCUUCUCUUUUAACUAUUUUAGGACAAUCCCGAAUAAAAUGAUCUAGUACACCACAUCUAAAACAAGCAUUUUCAUUUGCUCGGCACUCACCGAGAUGACGUCUACCACAUUGAGCACACUCUGGUCUAGAUGGUCAAGUACUACCCACACUUGCAACUGUAGUAGUUUGAGCUCUUGAACCCACAAAUUCUCUACCUCUGUUUCGGCUAGGAUACUCGGCUGAAAAAUUCAUUCUAGUAGAAAACUCUCUAGGCCUCUUGGAUGUAGACUGAAAUGAUCUGCUCAUCUACCAUUUCUUCGUGUCUGGAACCUCAAUCUCAACUUUGCCCUUUUUUUUAACAACUCAUUUGUUUUACAGGCUCUUUCAACUAGAACAACUAACUCUUUUAUCUCUAGAACACCAACUGACAAUCGAAUAUCAUCAUUAAGUCCAUCCUUAAAUCUUUUACACAUAAUAGCUUCUGUAGAUACAUACUCUCGAGCAUACUUGCUGAGUCUGACAAAUUCACGUUCAUACUCAGUCAUAGUCAUCUUACCUUGUUUUAACUAAAGGAACUCUUUUCUUUUCUGGUCAAUAAACCUCUGACUGAUAUACUUUUUACGGAACUCCUCCUGAAAGAAAUCCCAACUAACUUUCUUACUCGGUACAACUGAUACAAGAGUCUUCCACCAAUGAUAGGCUGAAUCUCUGAGAAGUGAGACAACACACUUCAUGCAUUCUUCAGGUGUACAAGAUAAUUCGUCAAAAACUCUAAUAGUAUUCUCGAGCCAAAAUUCUGCUUUCUCUACAUCAUCGUCUUUAGUAGCCUGAAAUUCUUCAGCCCCUUUUUUUCUGAUCUUAUCAACUAGUGGUAUUUCUCCUAUAACUAUACCUGUACCUGUAACUGGGGGAGCUACAUGGGGAAUCUGAAAAUCAUGAGGGGGUGGAGAUCUAACAACCGGAUUCGUACGAACGAACUCGGCAAACGAUUCAUUCAUAGCAUGGAAGAAGUCUUCUCGAGCCCCUCCUCCCUGACUAACUAUAACGGACCUUUCACUAACAUUAACAUCUGGUGGCACCAUCCCUUUUGCGGAAGCGGGCACAUUACUCUCUACUUCAUCUGUACCAGCUCGUUCGGGAUCCAUAACUAUAAAAAAACAUUUUAAAAUCGCCAGGAGUCGUCACACUAUCAAUAUAUAAGUAUGGCAUGUAUAGGUAGACUUUUAUUCAUACUAAGUAUUCCGAGAAUCGACUAAACCUGCUCUGAUACCAACAAAAUGUAACACCCCUUACCCGAGACCGUUGCCAGAGUCGAGCUCGAGGCAUUACUUUACUUAACUUAAAAAUUCAGGGCAUAAAAUUUUACUUUUAAAAUUAAUUUCACUAUUCACAACAAAGUUGUCCACCUGCGCAGCAGUUACUACUUUAGUUAUAACUCGAGUUACGAAAUUUGAAAUUUAAAUCCGUAAAUUUCCCCUGAAACUAGACUCAUAUUUCUUCUAACCAUAAAUUUUUUAGAAUUUUUGGUUCACCCAAUUAGUACAGUUUAUUAGUUAAAGUCUCUCAUGUUUCACCACUCGACUAUCCUGACCUCUUGUCACUAAAAAUAAGCUUUCUCAUUGUAUGAUUUUCAUAUCGGUUCUCACUUGUUUAGACAGAAAAUAGACUCAAUAAGGAAUCUAUAAAUAUAAACUACAACUCAUAACCAUUUUUGUACAAUUUUUAAUGAUUUUCUAAACUCAUAACAGAGGACUCCAAAAAUAGUUCUGAUCCUGUCUCACUAAAAUUCACAUAUCUUAAAAUAUAAAAUUUAUUUUGCUACACCAUUAUUUUUCUAUGAAAGUAGACUCAAUUAGCUUUAGUUCUAUAUAUCAUUCACCUUCUAAUUCAUUUUAUACUAUCCUAGGUGAUUUUUCAAAGUCACGUCACUGUUGCUGCUUGAAAUCUGUUUCUUUGCAAAUUUUACUUUUUCAUGAUUUCUAUGCAUGGUUCAUCACCUAAACAUUUGUAACAACAAACACCUUCAUACUUAGCCAUUUUAACAACCAUUCAUCAUCAAAUACUUACAUAUCAUUCUUUAGCAAAAUCAUAAAUACAAACAUUCAAAAUAACUAAGUCCCUAUACAUGCCAUAACCCAAACAUGGUUCAUCAUAAAAUACCGAGUUGUUAUCGUUGAUAGUGUGGACGAUCUCCGACGUCUUUAAGUUCCCGAAAGUAGCUUUACAAUAUAUGGAGCUUGGAAGCUUGAAAACCCUAACUAUAACUUCUCCCCUUGCUAAAUUUGGCCUAAUGAAGAAUGUUAUCAAAAAUUGGCUUUUAAUUUUGUUUUUAAUUCAUUUUAAUAACUAAAUGACUAAAAUGCCGUUAAUGAAAAAAUUUGGAAACAUGCCUAACCAUGUCCAUUUUUGUCCACCAACUUAACCGAUGGUCUAAUUAUCAUAUAAAGACCUCCAAUUUAAAAUUUCAUAACAAUUGGACACCUCUAACAUAUAGAACUCAACUUUUGCACUUUUUACAAUUUAGUCCUUUUGACUAAAUUGAGUGCCCAAAUGUCAAAAUUUUUGAACGAAAUUUUCACAAAAUCUUUCUGUAAAAUUUUAGGCCAUAGAAAUAUAAUAAAAAUAAUUUUUUCCUAAUUAAAUUUGUUGUCCUGAAACCACUAUUUCGAUAACCUUAAAUUUGGGCAUUACAAUGAGAUUGGGGGAACUAUCGAUAAAGUUACAAAGAUGGACUGUAACAUUGAUAGUGGAAUAAGAGGGAAAUUUGCUAGGUUGGCAGUCUAUGUAAACCUUGAUGAACCGUUGGUCUUCCAGGUUCUGAUCAAUGAAAUUAUUCAACGAGUUGAGUUUGAAUUCCUUCUGGUGGUGUGCUUUUGUUGCAGGCGGUAUGGUCAUGUAAGAGAGGUAUGCCCAAAGAUUUCUAUUUUUUUAAACCAUUCGGAGGUGGGAGAUCCAACGAUGAGCCCGAAAAUGGCUCUGGUGCACCAUCUAGUAGCAAAAAGGAUAAAGUAGUGGAUACAAGUUGGCCACAUCCACAACAGUCCCAUCUAGUAACAAAAAGGAUAAAGUAGUGGAUGUGGGCGCAAGUUGGGCCAACGUAUAAAUAGACCCAUUUGGGUAUUUCCAGUCCAAGUUCAAUAAUGGAAAUUCAACAGGCUAAAGGGUUGGGCAAAGUAUCCACUAAUCCCUUUAUUCUCAGGAUGAGAAAAUGCUUUUGCCCUCUUCUCCUAUUUUUAACGCACCUAAUGUCGUUUGACAUGAAGAAGCAACUUACAGUGAUAUUAUGGCUAAUUCACAAAAACAGGUCCAUAUUUCAACAGCUUUUCUUAAUCCCAAUUUUAUAGGUCCAGUUAGGAUGAAGGUUCUAUUGAAAGAGAGAGUUCUUAACCCUGGUAGACAUUCGACCAUUUUUUAAGGAAAAUUUGGCUUCUAUUGAAGAAAAUACGUUGAAAGGAAAAAGUUCUAUAAAGACAGGGAAUUGAAUCUAUGUUGGUAAGGGACGAAGGAACGGUGGAAAAGCUGAAUCAAAUAGAAAUGGCAAGAUCCUUAACAAGACUAUUCGAGGUCAAAAAGAUAGAUUUAAGGCUAUUGGUAAUCCACGUACUCCUCUAUCGGACACUAUAAAUUUUAUGGCUAAAUUUAUUAUUUCUCAAAUUGAUGUUUUCGAUGACACGAGUACCCUACCAAGGAAUGGGAAAGGUUUGGGAAGCUCGUCCUUUGCUAAACAGUAAAGGUUAAUAUUUUCUCUCAUAGUCUUUGUAUAUUAUUAUGAAUGUAUUAAUGUUUUCGUGAAAUUGUCAAGAUUACACCAAUUUAAAAUUCCCUCGUUAUUUUGGGAGUAUAACUUGAAAUAUAAAAUGGAUAUAGUCAGUUUAUUGGAAAUGAGAGUUAGUGGUACAAAAGGAGACAAUAUUGUAGCUAAGUUGGACUUUUAAUUUUCUCAUUGUGUGGAAGCAGUUGGUUUUUCUAGAAGAAUUUGGGUUGGCUGGAAGGACUAGAUUUGGGUUAAGGUAGUCCAUAGCCAUCCCCAAUUUAUUCUAAUUUGGGUCUUUAAUCAUUUUCUUCGCCAACCCAUUUUUAUCACUUUAGUUUAUGGUAGUCUUGACAGGCAAAAACGGAAACUUAUAUGGGAAAGGCUUAAAGCUACUAUUCUAACAAGGGUGUUCAUUGGCUCAUUAUUGGGGAUUUAAUGCCAUCCUCUUUGCUAGUGAGAAGAAAUGUGGGCGGACUAAUGGAAGAAAGUGUUCUCUUUUUAGUGACUUCAUGAUUUUUGUUGCCUUACAUGAUUUAAGCUUUAAAGGCCCUCAAUUCACUUGGUGCAAGAGGGAUUUUUUUAUAGGCUUGACAAAUCAAGUGGGAAUGAUGCUUGGAUGAAUAUGUUCCCUAGUAGUUUGGUCACCCAUCUUCCAAGGCUUAAGUUUAACCAUAAAUCGCUUUUUCUUUCCUUGAAACCUGAGGGUAAAACUUCAACAUAACGACCUUUUAGAUUUUUAGUUAGAUAGCUGAAACAUCUGUCUUUUUCAAAUUUUGCUAAAAGACAAUGGAGUUUCAAUGGUAAUUUGGCAGACUCCCUUUCUAAGUUUUCCUUGGGGCUAAAAGAGUGGAAUCGUAUUGUUUACGAGUACAUUAGAAUAUGUAAAAGACAUAUUUUGAAUAAACUUUCAAGUGUCUAAAAAAGGAUGGAGUUUUCUAAUUCUAGCAGGCUCAUUCGGUCUAAAAUAGAAGUUCGUGAGGAAUUGAACAGUGUUCCCCAUCAUGAGGAGAUUUUAUGUAAGAAAAAAUUCUCGAUGUGAAUGGUUGAAUAUGGGUAAUUGAAAUACUAAGUUUUUUCACUUUCGUGCUUUACAAAGGAGGAAACAUAACCAUAUUACUUCCCUUAAAAAUGACAGUGGUGAAUGGAUUUAGAUGUCAAAGCUCUUCAACUUGAAGCAAUUAGUUUUUUUCAAGAGUUGUAUAGUGUGCAACUUGAGCCCAUGAGAAAUUUACCCCCUAGUGUAUUUCCUAAUCUUGAGCACUAUAAUGUUCAGUUUCUUGGAAAGGAGGUGUCUGAAGAUGAAAUUACAACUACUCUGUUUGAUAUGUCCCUUUUGAAGGCUCCGAGAAGUGAUGGUUUUCAAGAUCUCCUCUUUCAGAACCAUUGAGAUUUAGUUGGUUCGACAAUUUGUGAGUGGGUUAAAUCGAUUUUUACUGGGAAAUGUGUUAAGCCUAAACUCAAUAACUACAUUGGUAGUCCUCAUUCCUAAGGUUCCUAAUCCUUAGAAGUUGACACAAUUUGCCCCAUCAGUCUAUGUUUGGUGAUGUAUAAGUUGCUGAUGAAGGUUAUUGCUAAUCAGUUUAAAUUAGUGUCCCUAAGAUCAUUGGACAAAGAACAUACUGGCUUUAUUGUAGGUUGGAAUAUCACUGACAACAUCCUUAUUGCUCAUGAGGUUAUUCAUUCAGUAAGAUGUAAGCACAAGAAUAGAAAGUGGAUGGCAAUCAAAAUUGAUAUUGAAAAAGCUUAUGAUAGAGUUCGUUGGGAGUUUAUUGAAGCAUCUCUUCAAGUUGCAUAUAUUUCUAAUAUGCUUAUAAAUGUUAUUAUGUUUGCUAUCACAAAUUCUACUAUGCAGGUGUUGUAGAAUAAGGUCCCUACGCAGAAGUUCAGACCUACGAGAGGUAUUCAACAGGGGUUGCCUUUAUCACCUUAUCUGUUUAUCUUGUGUAUGGAAUGACUCGAACAUAAUAUUCAUUAUGCUAUAGAUAAUGAACAUUGGCAACCAAUCCAUUUAUCAAGGUCUGGACCUUUUCUUUCACAUCUUUCUUUGUAGAUAAUAUUGUUAUCUUUGGUCAUGCAAAUCUUCAACAAGCUUUACUCCUUAAGGAUUUGUUAGAGAGGUUUUAUGUUUACUUUGGGCACCAUGUUAAUGCUUGGAAAACGGAUAUCUACUUCUCAAAAAGUAGAUAUGAUGGAAUUGGAAAGCAGCAGAAUAAAAUUCUUGGUUUUCAUAAGGUACAAAAUCUUGGUAUUGAUCUGGGAGGUACCUCUUUUCCAUGAUAAGAUUUCAAACAGUACCUUGUGUUUUGUUGUCGAUAAGGUUCGCAGCAAGCUAAAUAGAUGGGAUGCUAGGAAACCCUCUUUUGCUGGUAGAGUUACUCUUGCCCAAGCGGUCUUGUUGUUGGUCCCUAAUUACUUUAUGCAAUCCAUGAUGAUCCCUAAAGAAUUUUGUGAUGAGAUUGAGAGUAUUGUUCAACAAUUUAUAUGGGGGUCCUCUGAGGGUCGGUAGAAGAUGUCAUUGGUUAGUUGAAAGGCUGUUUGUUAGCCUCGAUCAUGUGGUGGCCUUGGCUUUCGACAUUUAAGGGACUAAAAUACCACUUUUAUGAUGAAAUUAGGAUAUAAUAUAGUUUCCAAAAUGGAUGCUUUAUGGGUUUGUGUUCUUAGGUCCAAGUAUGGAAUGAAGGAGGAUGUAACAGCUUGUUAUUCAGUGGUGUUGGAAACAGUGGUUUCGGGACCACAAUUUCGAUGAGAGAGUCCGUAGAUAUAUUUAAUUAAUAACUACGAGAUUAAAUAUAGUAUAAUAGUGAAUCAUGAUUUAAGAGAUUUUAUUAAUUGGUCAGUUAGUUAACGUACAAAUAGUGCAUACCGAAAGUCAAGUGAUUUUGAAAAAUGAGGUAUUAGGACCUCAUUUCUAUAAACUGAGCCCAUGAAUAUUUUUAUUAAAUAUUUACGAAGCUUUUAUAUAAAUGGAUUGAAGUUUGAUCUAGAAUUUUUGAUGAUUUGAUAAUUAAUUAAGGAAAAAGGACUAAAUAAUAAAAGUGGUAAAAAUUAAUCACUAUAGAUUUUUAAUUAAUUGAAGGACAAAUUGUGUAAAUAAACCAUUAGUAUAUGGCCAAACGAUGGUGGGUGAUGAUUGGAAUCCACCAACUUUGAUUAAAAAUGUCUAAUAUUAGUUUAAUCAGGGUUUUAAUUAAUUAUAAUUAGAUUAAUUUAACUAAAGUAUAAACGUAGUAAAAUAAAAUAAGACAAACCAUUUUUUUCUUUCUUCUUUAACUUGUCUAUUUACCGAAACCAUAUAAGCAAAAUAGGGUUUUGAAUAUCAACUUUUGAUCCUCCAUUGAUGGUAAGAUUCAAGUCUGUUUCUUGUAAUUUUUAUAUUUUUGAAAUCAUUGCAACUAGGUCCAACUAACCCGUAUCUCCGUUUUCAAAAUUAUUAAAGAUUUCUAAAGUUGUUAUUGAUGAAAAUUGAAGUUUUUGAUGUUUAAUAGUUUGAUUAUAAUCUUAGAUAUGUUUAAAGACUAAUUUGUUAAGUAAAUUUUGUUAGUUUUGUGUAUAAGGACCAAAUUGUAAUAAUGUAAAUAUUUUCAUGAAAUUUUUGAAAAUUAUGUUUUUAUAGUGUUGUAUAGUUAUGAAUUUGUAAUUGGAUUGAAAAUCAAAGCUUGAAUUUAAAAGAUAUAAUAAUUUCGGCUUUAGGGACUAAAUUGGAAAAAUGAAAAAAUAGGGAAAUAGUUAAAAAUAAAUAAAAUAUAUUAUAUUCAUGAAUUGAUAUGGUUUAGAGUGAUAAAAGAUGAUAAUGUGAAAUGAAUUAUUAUACAGAUUAAUGAUUAAAUCGCACGGAGGGAAAUAGGAAAAAGGAAAAAUUAUAGAAUAGUCCCUACAAAUCAACUUGUUAUUCGAAUACAUUAGGUAAGUUCAUAGUGUAUAGAAAUGUACAUUUAUGCAUUGGUUGUUGGUGAAUAGUGUAUUUAUAUUUAUUUAUAUUGUUUGAAACUUGAAAUAUUAUAAACUAAUACUAAUGUGGGAAAUGACUUAUUUGAAAACUAUUGAAUACUUGUGAAACAUGAUUUAUAUGGACUUGAAAUGAAUGUGACUUGUUUACAAUAUGUGUACUAAUAAUAUGGAAGUGCCCCUAAUUUAUAAAUAUUAUGAAUCUUCUUUAAAUGUUUGUUUGAACGUAGUAAAUGAUUAGGAUAUGACUGGCAUGCUAAUAAGGUUAUAUUGCGUGUUGUACGGGUUUGAUAUGAUAUGAGAUGAUGGCAGAUGAUAUGUUUAUAUGCUCACUGAAUAUGCCGGUAUCCAACAUUUGUUACGAGUUUCUAAGUUGUAUUUACAGUGAUUCAGGCAUGCUUCUAGGGGAGGAUGUGCAGCCUUAGGGCUUGACACUUAGUGCCCAGGCGUUUUUCUGGGAAGAUGUUAGCUUUCAGGCUUGGAACUCAGUGCCCAAGCAUGUUCUUGGUUGGUUUAGCUCGUUUGAGCAUUCUAGCGUGUUUUGGUGGAUAACAAAGUAUCCAAAGUAUUUUGCUAUAGUUCAUCGAGCUACCUGUUAAAAGAAAGUAUAUUGACUGAUUUCAUGAGUUGCUUAGAAAUGAUAUGUUUAUAUGACUAUUGAAAUGUUAACUGAUGAAAUUGAAUGAAUGAUAAAUGUGUGUUUAAAAUUUGUUUGAAAACUUAUCAAAAUGACUAGAAUGUUUAUAGUUUACAUGUAUGAAACGUUCGCUUUGUACUUGUGACAUGUAGUGAUAGUGCUCUAUGUUUAAAAGAAAAAGAUAUAUGAUUGUGUAUGUAACGAAUUAAAAAAAUGUGUUUAAGAAUAGAUUUGAUCAAUUGAUUAACUUGAUUCAUAUGUUUUAUAGUUUGUUUGGAUGAUACUGUUAUGUAUCAUAUUGAAUGGAUUUGGGAAGAUUAUAUGAUUUAAUCCGUGAUAUACUCACAUUACUGUUGUAAAAUGUUUUGACAGGAAAGUGACUUAAACUAGUUAAAUCUAUUUACUUAAAUGUGAAUCUAAGAUAAGACUAUUGUUUAUGUACUUAUGAAUUUACUAAGCAUGACAAUGCUUACCCCAUUUUAUUUUCCUAUCUUCUAUAAUUGCAUCUUUGUGAAACUUGGCUAUCGGAUCACUUCCAGAGCUCACACUAUCCAACGUCUCUAUUAGUAAUCUUUGGUUCAUCUUGUUCGGUUAUAAGUGACAUGUAAUAGGUGUGAUAUAUGUGUGUGUGUGUGUGUGUGUGUGUGUGUGUGUGUGUGUGUGUGUGUGUGUGUGGUGUUCAAAUUUAUGAAUUUUCCCAUUUGGUAUGUUUAUUUAGGUAUUGUAUUAAAGCAAGUUUAUGGGAUUGUUUCGGUAACUUGAACUAUACUUAUGCUCGUAUGAUAUGAAAAUGUGUAUGACUAGCUUGAAUGUGUGCUAAGGGUUUUAGAAUGUGAUAGUUGGAUGAAUGCAUAAGUUAUAGGUGAAUGGAUUGAAAUAGUUUAGUUGAUUAUGGUGCCAAUUGUGGCAUAUUGAUUAGACAUUUAGGAAUGCUUUAUAAGUUAUGUUUUGAGCAUGAAAUGUGAAUAUUUGAGCAGGUGUUGAUGUUAGUAAAUGAAUGCAUUAUAGGUCUCUGUGUAAGGUUGAGACAAAUUUGUACAUUAGAUGCUUUUUUUCUGCACACACAGUUUGCCACACGGUUGGGUAUAUCACAUGGUUGGUUGAUAAGGCUGUGUGCUAUUGGUAAUUUAGAUGCAUGAAUGUUGACAUGGUCUCAAUCUCUCACAUGGCUCAGCCACACGGCUAUGAGAAUGUGUGCAAAAUUUUACAACUAGGUCUAUAAGACCACAAUUUUUUACGCGGCUUGACAAAACGGCCAUGUGACCCUUGUUUACUAAAAUUUUCAUAUAUUUUAUUAAGUUUACAACUAAGUCCCUAUUUGUUUUCGAGAUGUUUUAAGAGCUUUCGUAAGCUCGUUUGAGACUCAGAUUGAUGUGUAAAUCAUUACAUACUUGAGUUAUGAACGUUUUAAUGAUUUUUUUGAUUACUAAAUGUCAAAUUUACAUGUAUUUAUUCAUUUAUCUUCAAUAGCAUCGUGUAGCUCGAGUUCGACGACCGAACCGGGUAUAGAGUGUUAUAGAGGAGCUGCUAGAAGAUAUUUUGCGAGGACGAUGUUCUUUCCUUUGGAGGGCACUCUUUAAGGUUUGGCCUUUACUCUGAGAGAAUCUGCUUUGGCCUGUGGGAAAUGUGAACAAUAUUCAUUGUUGGAAGGAUUUGUGAAUUUCAUAUGUGGGACCUUUAAUUGACCAGGUUCUGUCUCAUGCUAAUAUCAAUCAAGAAUGUUUGCUUAGUGAGAUGAUUACUAAGGAGGGAACUUGAAAUUUGAAGCUUUUUCGCAUUUGAUUGCUGGAGGAUAUUAUUGGGUGUAUUGUGAGUAUUCCCCCGCCACACAUCUCUGUAGGUUGUGAUAGGAUUAUUUGGCUCAAAUUUCAACUAGUUUCUUCUCCCUUAAAAGUGCCUACUGAAGUUUACGAAAAAGAUCGUAGAGCUCGAGGGACGCAAAAUAGAAUAUUCUGUGGAAAUUUCAAGGUCUCUAAAGAGUUAGAUUCUUCAUUUGGCUUGUUUUGAAACAAUGCCUACUUACCAAUGUGGAGUGAGUCAAGCGAGGUAUAGGGCACAAUAGUUCUUGUAGACUGUGUGGACAUCAUUUUGAGGAUAUCUUACAUUCCAACAGAGAUUGUCCUACAGCUAAGGAAAUUUGGAAGCUGGUUUUGUCAAAUGACCUGUGUGGGCAUUUUUUUGCAUGUAAUAUUCAUGAAUGGUUAAGUCUAAUUUACUUAAUCCUUCUAAACUAGCUAUGGGCGAGGUUGUUUGGUUGAGCUUAUUUGGUUUGAUAGCCUGGAGAAUAUGGAAAAAUUAGAACCUUUUCAUCUUCCAAGGGUCUCCUUGAAAAGUAAGUGACAUUGUUAAGAAUCCAUACAUCUGGGCAAAACGGUUUGCUUCUUUUCAUGGGAAGGAUUUGUCUAGACAACAGACACCAAGGCCAUUUAUUCCUAUGCCGGAGAAUUAGAUUAAAUUAUGCACUGAUGGUGCGGUGCAAGCUAUGUUUGGAAUUGCUGCAGCUGGGGGAGUCCUAAGGUAUGGAAAUGAGGAUUGGAUUAUGGGAUAUAACAAAUUUUUGGGUGAAUGUUCCGUCUUUGAUGCUGACUUGUGGGUCAUUCUCGAUGGGUUGGCCCUUAUCCAAUAUAAACGAUUUUAGGGCGUGAUGAUUCCAACAGAUAGUUUGGAGGUGGUCAAGGCUAUUCAGGAUUUCUCUUUGGCAGAUUCAAAUUCCACCCUCAUUAGAAGAAUUCAUCAACUCUUAGCAAAUGUUGGACAUUGGGUCAUGCAACAUAUUCCCAGGGAGUUAAACGAAAUUGCAAAUUGUAUGGCUAAAUUGGCUUUUGAUACAGGACAAAACUUGACGAUGUUUGAAAAGAUCCCAAAAGAGGCAUUAGCAAUCUCUCCUAUUGUCAAAACAAGUGUUAGCCUUGCUCAAAAGUCCUCUGUGUAGUUAGUUUGUCUUAAGUUUGUUUUCUUUUCACAAAAAAAAAAAAACAUCAUAUACAUAUUUUUAUUGGUUUUUGUUAAAAUAAAAGAGUAAAGUACUCUUAGUUCAUAAUUUUUCUAACUAAAUUGGUAUGGUUGACGUAAUUUUCCUAACCGAAUUUGUGUCUGGUUGACUUGUGACACAAACUCAGUCAAGAACUAGACUAAAAUACCUUCAAAUGAUAUAAAUUAGUUUAAUUAAAAAAAAGAUAUUUUAAUCGAAUUGAUAUUUAGUUGACUUGUGACAUCAACUUAAUUAGAGACUUAAUUUUUUUGAUAAAAUGUUGAAUGGUUGCCAUUAAUAAUACAAGAAUAAGAAUAAGCUGCAUAGAUGACACAUGUCCUAACCCGUCACUCACCAUUAAAAGGGUGAUAGACCCUAAUUAAUGAGAAAGCUGAAAAGUGAAACAUUUCCUAAAAGACUUCCAUAGUUAAAAACAAAAAAUUCCAUUUCCUACUGCCAUAAAUUAGAGACUUAAUUAAAAGAAUAGAUACAGACAAACAUAUUAUAUAUAAAUAGAGAUAUAGAUACAAGCAUUAUAGUACAACAAAGAAAUAAUAAUAUAAAAAUAUGUAAGUAAUUAAUAAAAUAAUUAAAAAUAAAAACGAUUCUGUUAAAUAGAUUUCAAUUGUGUUGGCAAGGUGUACAUUUUAGAACCAACACCUGUAUAACUCUUCUAAUGUAUAAUUUAAAGGUUUAAUUAUUUUUCAAAUAAUUAAUUCAAUUAAAAAUUAUAUCUACAUAUUUUCAAUGCUAAAAGCCAUAAAGUGAACAAAACAGGGUUUAUUCUUGGAUAACCCCUUACCCUGCUUUUAUUAAAAAGAAAUGGGUCACACACAAAAUAUUACAGGUGAGUUGAGUAAAAUAUUACAGGUAAUGAUGCAAUAUUAACUGUCACUUCUUCGUAUACCUGUUUUCUAUUUUGUCCUAUAUUGUCCCCACGAAUCAAGGGAAGAAGAGAAAAAGAAAUGGCAGAGAAAGCCCUAAAUUGAAGGAUCUAAGAAAGCUAUCCACCAAAAAGAAGUUUUCUAAAAAAAAAAAACAAAUCGAAAACCCCAUGUCCAAAACCACUCCCUCACCCCCCCUAUUUUACAUCUUCCUGUUUUUUGCUAAAAAAAGAGAGAAUUCCAUUAUGUUUGAAAUGCAUGUUUUAGCUGAAUUCUUUAGUCCUUUCCUUGAUGUUUACUAGGUAUAAUGGAUUAUUAGCACCCAAUUUUUUGUUUCUCUUAUUGCUUUGUUUCUGAAGAUAAAUUAAUAUUUUUUUAAAAAAAAUGAGUAUUGAUGCAAAGGGUAUUCAACUUUUUGUCUGGAGAAUUAUUAGAUUUUCUGGAAUUUGUUGCUAUAAAUUUGGAAGAAAAUACCCAGAUAUUUCAGGGUUUUUGAUCUUUGUUUUCCUUUUGUACAUAUUUUUCCCUCAUGUUUUCUUGUAUUUUAUGUACACUUCCCCUAUUAUGGUCUGCACUGCUGUUUUUAUCCGAUUUUAUUUCAAAACCAAGUAUGCUGCAUCCCGAUGGCUAAAGAAAAAAGAGAGUGCAGAUGGAAAAGUUGUAAAUACAUCAAACGAGGCUUCAUUGCGACUCCAGAAAAGUGUUAGACGAAAUGCUCGAAAGGAAGUGCUAGAAUGGGAUGGAAAACAUAGUGAGGAAAAAGACAUGCUUUUUGUGAGAAGUACUUGUGAUAGUCCGUCUAGUAAAACUAAUUUCUUGGAAGAAAAUUCCAAGGUUACCUUCGAUAGGGUAGGAAGUUCCAGCAGUGAACAUGGAGAGGGUUCCCCCCAUGACGAAACUGGAAAUCUGAAUUUGGUCUUUGAUAGUGAGACAUCGAAACCUCAUCGGGUGUUGGAUGAUAGCUUUCAAGGGUCAUCAGGAACAGGUCCUCGUGCUCGUGCUCGUGGUGUCAACAGCUUGGAAGAAGCGAAUGAUGCUGGGAAUAAGGCUACGAAUCGUAUGGAUCUUGGGUUAGCUGAGUUGGAAAGAAACAAAAGGCUGCAAAGUUUAAUUGCGAAACGUAGAGCAAAAAAGUUGUUUAGAAUGGCAAUUGAGAAAAGCCUGAUCGGUAUCAAUGGUAUUCCUCCUUCUCAAAUAGCUCCCAUUCUAACCGCUAAAAUCAACAAUGGUGAGUUUUCAAGUCAUCUUGAUGAAGACGAUUUACCAAUGCCUGGUUCAGCCCCUUCCUUAUUGUUGCCUAAACAGAAUUCAUUUGACCUACCUUAUGAUCCACUUGAAGAAAAACCCAACCUUAUGGCCGAUAAUUUCCAACAAGAAUUCAUGCCAGCCAAUCUCUUCUGCAGACACGAAAGCUUCCGUCACGGACCUUUGUUUACAUUUCCAACUUCUCAAUAUCCAUAUGGUGCCGAGUUUAACCCGUAUUAUAGCGGUGAGAAAAGGCUUUUUAAAUGGAAGCCAGGUAAGAUCAAGAUAAUAACUUAAAUAUAUUUUUCAUUGUUGAGAUCUUUCUUUUAUUUGGUUUUUCUGUUUAACGGAUAGGCUGUAGAAUUGGUUGUUUCAAAGCUUUGAGGUACAUAAUCAAAUUAUUUAAGUCAUUAUUCUGUGGAUAACAAUUGUGAAGAAAGAAUUUCCACAAGGCCCUGCCUAAAACUGUGUCCAAAAAGAGUACUUAAGAAAAACUUUUUAGACUAGAGGUAAGGGGGACAAACAUAUUCCAGAAAAUAAUUUGAUCAUCCUAUUGAACUACAUAGCCAUCAAAACCCUAAUAUCUCAGUAUGUAGUUAUUGAAUCAAUGGAAUUACUUCAAAUUUGGUAUAGAAGUUUCUUUUCCCUUUUUAAAGUCUGCUGUUAUCUAAUGGAAUAAUUUUAACAUUUUACCUUUUCAUCAGACAAAGGAGGUCACCACCAGCUUAAUUCCUCCGGUAUAGAAAAUGAUAUUGAUCCUGUUGAGCUAGAAGAAUCAAAUCACAAUGAGGCGGUAAACUUAUCCGAAGAGAAAAGGGAAAAGAAUAUAGAAAUCCCACACAAUAGGACCGAAGUAGAAGGAGAGAAGAUGGAACACCCUCAUGAUCUGGAGCCAGGAUUAGAUAGUGGAAGUGAAGUCAGAAUGGAGACAGAUUCAAUUAAAAACAACAAUUCCUGUGACUCAUCUUCAUCCGAAAACACAGAAUCGAUCUUAGAUCAAACAAGUAAAUCUCCUGGGAUACGCAAUGAUCAUGUGCAAAGGGCCCUUAAACUUGCAAUUCCUCCUAAGGGGGGAGCUAUUAACAGACUUUCCUUUGAUUCCAGCCCGUCGCCAUCUGAAAGGCGUAGGGUAGACAUUCAUUCAUUUUACAGUACAUAUAGGCGACAGUGCCAUACCCCAACGUUUUCCAUAGCUUCUGACUUGCAAGUUGAGGUCUCAGAAGUUGGUUCACCUCCAUUAACAACUGAUGGAACAACUUCACCUGCUGAUGGUGAUUCAGUUAUAUAUGAUGGGGAUGUUGAAAGGGAUAUCAAUUCCGAAAGUGAAGAACCGUGGGGAGGUUCAUUUAACCUAUCAAGAGAAGAGGCAAAUCGAGAAAGACUAAAAGAAUUAGAUGAUAUUAUUGAAGAGGAAUCUGCUGAAGUUGCUUCAAUCUCUCCAUCCGAACAUGAAACCAAGCAAAAUUUGAAUAGCAAAAUUUCACUAUCUUCAAUAGAAAUAACUGAGAAUGGUGCAUCCCCUCCAACAUAUAUAAACUCUGAAACUCAUAAAGAUUCCAGCAACUGCAGGCAUGGCAGUUUACAAACAUCUUAUGAGAGUAAAAGUACCAUGGAAUCUGGAAAGGAAGUAAAGGAAAGCCAUCCUUCAAAUUUUAUUGAAGAAGAUACUCAAACCUUAACUGAGCAUAAAGCUAGGGAUGCACGAAAGGCAGUUCGAAGCAGAGACAAAUUAAAAUCUGCUCCAGAUAUCAUAGUUGAUCAAAAUGUUUCAGAGAACAAUAUAUUGGAACAAAGAUUACGUGAAUCUAUUGCAAGGGCUCUAAAUCGAAGAUUGAUGCUUGACCAAUUUUCUGUGAGCUCAUCUUCAUCUCCAAGGUCUGUAUUACCUCAAAAUAUCUUGGCAGAUCAAAUGCCUAUACCAGAAGUUGCACGACGAAUACAACGAAAUCUAUCACAGUCUGUUAGGGAAGAUAUACUGAGGCACAAUUUAGCAUAUGAACAAGCACGUGAAAACUUUACUUCUAACAGGCCCCGAUUUUCUCAUGAAUUUGUUUGGAGUUCAAUGAAUCGCUCAUUCAGUAGUUGCGGUCUUGGAACAUUGGAGGUCAGUAUGAGAGUAUCAACAUUCCAUCUUCGUCUUUUCAUACAUUAGACAAAUCUUGAAAUCAUAUAUAAUGUUUGAGGCUUAUGAAUCCAAGUAUAUAAACAUGGUCCUUCACUUUUAAGUACCUUUUCCAUUUUCUUUUAUGCCUACAACCUCCAUUCUUGGCCCUCGCCCCGUGCGUGUGUUUGUGGUAAUCAUAAAGAACUUCCAGCAUGUAAAGAGCUAUCAAAACCAUCCAGGAAAAUAUUCCUGGUUCUACUGAGUAUCUUGAAGGAAGAUUAAAGUUUAAUAUGAAAUUAGAAUUGAUCCAAGGAAAUCAGAUUAUCCUAAAACUUAUAGAUCUCCAUAUUUGCUUUACUCAGUUGGCACUGAAUUACAACAACAGUACGGCACUUUUUCAUUUUUUGAUUUUGUAGUAAUUUUUAACAUUACACUAUUGACUUAUUGCUUCUCAUUUAUGUUUCUUAUUCAUGAAAUGUCCUUGAAGCAUAUUUUUUGUAACAGAUGAAAAUUUCUUAUCAACUAGAGAGGCUUUAAACUGAUGAAGUAACAACAGCGUUGCUUUGUUUAACUGUACAGGCUGCAAGGAAGGUCAUUGAGGCAGGCAACAUGGCCGUAAAUAUCAAUAAUUCAGCAGUCUUUAACAAGGAUGAAGGGGAGAAGUUGGCAACUAAUGAAGGUGGAUCCCAAUUCUUAAUCAGACCAGAAGAUAUCAACAGGCCUGAAAAAUCAAAUAAACAACAAGUAUAUACGGACAAAACAGAAGCAAUUGAAAGUGAUUAUACAAGCAUUGUUGAAAGUGCAAAAGAAAGAGAGGUAAUACAUUAGUCUGAAGUGAAACUCUCAUGUUUUUACUUAAUCCUCUGUUCUUAGAAACAGAACAAAAGAAAAAAGAAUACCAAUUUAAAAAUGCCAAAUAGUUGCAAACUAUUGAAUCUUUUGUCCUUUGUAAGACCAAAUAAAGAAUGAGAAUCAGAUAUUCUCCUAUUUUCUCCUUUAUUGAAGAAAUGUUUCCUUAAUACUUCUAAUCCAUAUCUAUAUCACUCAGACUCACAAGUGAGUGAUAGAUAUGGAUACACAGGUGUGUAUGCUUAAAUUCUUUUUUCAAUUUUUUCAUAUAUUUAGAGGAUUGUGCUCCUAUACUCAUUUUCGAAUAUAAGUCAGGCAUUGAAUAUGGGUACCUUAGAAAAAAUGAAGAGCUCGGGUAGCAUAGCUUCUAAUUACGUACCGCAUACAAUUAAUUUCUCACAUAUAUGUUUCCUUCUGCUGUUCCCCUAGAUGUUUAGAGAAUUUCCGUAGCUACUGCAUUUACAAUAAUCUCAAUCAUGUUAUUUAGCUAUACUCGAUGGUCAGAAAGUUUUUUUACUGAUCCAUCCUUUGUUGACAUUGAGCUGGAACCUUUCUCAGAACUCUGCAGCUGAAGUUGAUCGUAUUUGCAAGGUUAAUGAGUCAGUAGCUAAUAAUGUAAUCAACAAAGAGAUCAAGAAUGAUGUUUUUGAAGGUGAAGAAGCCCUCCGAAUAUUAGGUAAACUAGAGGCUGUCAUUGAACCAUCAAAUACCACCGGGGAAACUAAUGCAGGAUCUGUUGAAGAUACUGAAGACGAAUCCAAAAGAUUAGCCAAAGCCAAAGCAACUGCUGGCCUAUCAACUUUAACGGGAGAAACUAAUAGCUUGAAUAACAUUAAAAAUGGUGAAAAGAUACAGAAUUUGACUGAUCAAGAAGGUGUCAUGGAUGCAUCACAAUCAGGGGAGGUUCAGGAGGAAAAUCUAAAGGUCAUUGAAAGCAUCCUAAAUGUUGAUAGCAUUACAAAGGGUACAUCUAUCGACCAUGACAUGACCAUCAAAGCAUCAAAACCAACAGAAUCUGAAGUCAAGGCAUCCAAAAUGAUUAAAUAUGACACCGGAAUUGAUCCAUCAAAAUCAGGAAAGGAAAAUGCUAAAUCAGAUGAUACUGAAACUAUGGUAAGAGAAAAAGCAAUCCCGAUAUUUUGGAAAAAGAUCUCCAUACUUGUUGCUUUACUCAGUUGGCACCAAAUUACAACAACAUUACAGAAUCUUUUCAGUUUUGAUUUAGCAGUAAUUUCUAACAUUAGGUUAUUCACUUAUUGUUUUUCAUAUAUGUUUCUGAUUCAUGAGAUGUUCCUAGUACAUCUUUUUGUAAUAAAUGAAAAUUUUAAAUCAGCUAGCGGUGCUGUAAACUGGUGAAGUACUAACCGCGUUGCUUGUUAAAUUGUCAGGAACCAACAAAUUCUCCUAGGAAGGUCUUUAAGGAAGGCAGCAAUGUCGUAAAUAUCUAUGAUUUAGGAGUCAUUGGCAAAGAAGGGGAGAAGUUGACAACUAAGGAAGAUGAAUUCCAAUUCUCAAUCGGACAGGAGGGCAUCGGGGGACCUGAAAAAUUAAAUGAACUGGAAGCUGAUCUGAACAAAACAGAAGCAAUUGAAAGUGAUUAUACAACGAUUGUUGAAACUGCAAAAGAAAGAGAGGUAAUACAUUAUUAUAAAGUAAAACAUUCAUAUUUUUAAUUAAUCCUGCUUUGUGAGAAGGGAACUAUAACAAAAGAAAAAGGAAUACUAAUUUAAAAGCACCAUUUACAUACCAAAUAGCUACGAAAUAUUGUAUUUAUUGUCCUCUAAGAAAUUAAAUGAUGAAUGAAAAUAAGAUGUUCUCUUAUUUGCUCCUUCACUGAAGAACUGUUUCCUUUUGAAAGUAAGAACUGUUUCUUUAAUACUUCUAAUCUAUAUUACUCAGAACCGGAAAUGAAUAUCGGAUACAUGUAUGUGUGUUCUCCUGUAUCCAUGACUGAAUAUGUGUUAGACACAAACACCGGAUAUGGAUACUUUAGAAGAAAUCUGGAUAACAUGUCUUCUAAAUACGUGCUUGCAAAUAAAUUACUCACAUAUGUACUUCCUUCUGCUGUUUUCCUAGCUGUUUUAAAAGUUCCCAUACCUACAGCAUUUAUAAUAGUCUCAAACUUGUCAUUUAGCUAUUUUCAAUAGUCAGCUAGUUAUUUUACCUAUCCAUCCUUUACUGACAUCGAUCUGGAAUCUUUCUCAGAAUUCUGCAGCUGAAGUUGACCGUAUUUGCAAGGUGAAUGAGUCAGUAUCUGAAAAUGUAACCAACAAAGAGAUCAAGGACGAUGUUCUUGAAGGUGCGCUCCGGAUAUUAGGUAAAAUAGAGGCUGUCAUGGAACCAUUAAAUACCUCCCGGGAAACUAGUCCAGGAUCUGUUGAAGAUUCUGAACAUAAAUCCAAAAGAUUAGCCAAAGCCGAAGCCAAUGCUAGCCUAUCAACUUCAGCAGGAGAAACUAACAGCUUGAAUUGCAUAAAAAAUGGUGAACAGAUACAAAAUAUGUCUCGACAAGAAGGUAUCAUGGGCACAUCACAAUCAAUGGAUGAUAAUUGCAAGGCCAUUGAUAGCAUCCCAGAUGUUGAUAAUGCUACAAAGGGUACAUCUAUCGACCAUGAUAUUGCUGCGAAAGCAUCAAAGCAAAAAGAUUCUGAACACAAAUCCAAAAGAUUAGCUGAAGUUGAAGCCAAUGCUAGCCUAUCAACUUCAGCAGGAGAAACUAACCGCUUGAAUAACUGUUGAAGCAAUGGUCAGCAUGCAGCAACCAAGACUGUCGAGGGCACUACAUGCAGAAGCUGCAAGUUCAUCAAGCCAGCAAGCUGUGUUUUCACUUAUUUUGUAUUUUUAAGUUAAUGCAAUGUAACUUAGUUGUAUUUCAACUAUGUUAGGUUUAUAUUUGAUGUAAAACUGAUGGUGAUUGAGCUGAUUAAUCAGCUUUGUUGAUUUGUACAAGUUAAUUAGCUCAAGUUACUAAGUUUGUUAGUGGUAGUAGGUGAAGUUUAGGUUAACCUACUGUUUUGUCAAGUUGUAAGCUUGUUUAUGUAUUGGCUUUGAGCCAUAUUCAGUUUUUUGAAUGAAUUCAAAAAGUUUUCAUCCAUAUGCUCUCCAUUUUUAGUUUUGCUUCAAAAUCUAUUUGAGUUUUCUGCUUUGUUUCUGCUGCAAGUCACGAGACUUGCUCGACAAGCAUUCUGUUGAAGCUUGCUGCUGUAGCACUUAGAUCCAACAAUUGGUAUCUAGAGCCAUAUUCUUAGAGGACCUGUUGUAGUUUAGUAUCAAAACCAUGGCAUCAUCAGGUUUUUCACCAGCUUCACCACCUGUCUUCAAUGGAGAGGGCUUCAACAUUUGGGCAGUUAAGAUGAGGACUUACCUGCAGGCAUUCGACCUAUGGGAAGUUGUUAACUCAGAUGUUGAGCCAGCACCUCUUCGAGCUAAUCCAACAGUUGCUCAAAUAAGGCAACACAUUGAUGAAAGAACAAAAAGGCACAAGGCCAUGUCAUGCAUACAGAAUUGUGUGACAGAUGUGAUCUUUAUGAGGAUCAUGGCCUGUGAAACACCAAAGGAGGCUUGGGACAAGCUGAAAGAAGAAUUUCAGGGGACUGAGAGAACAAGGCAACAACAGCUGCUCAACUUGAGAAGAGAUUUCGAAAAUCUCAAAAUGAAAGAGGAAGAAACAGUUAAGCAGUACUCAGAUCGGAUUAUGGCUGUUGUAAACAGCAUAAGGCUCCUAGGAGAGCAAUUCAGUGAAGCUAUAAUAGUUGAGAAAGUCAUGUCCACUCUACCAGAGAAGUAUGAAGCUAAAAUUUCAUCCCUCAAAGACUCAAGGGACUUGACAACUAUCUCCUUAACUGAGCUAAUCAAUGCCUUGUAUGCACAAGAGCAAAGAAGAGCCAGCAGACAAGAGGAGCACCAGGAAGGGGCUUUUCAAGCCAAAGAAGCCUCGAGCAUCAAAACUCACAAAGGCAAAAAGUUCUGGAAAAACAGGCCUAAGCCUGAUACUGCUAGGAGCAGUGACCAACUCUGCAGACAUUGUAAAAGAGCUGGUCAUCCAGAAGAUAGAUGCUGGUUUAGACCAGAUGCAGUAUGCCAACACUGCAAGAAAAAAGGCCAUGUUGAAAAAGUUUGCAAGAAUAGAAGCAAACCAAGACAGAAUCAAUUUCAGCAACAAAAGGUAGAAGCUCGAGUAGCUGAAGAAAGCAGUGAUCAAGAAGAACAUGUUUUUGCUGUGUCAUGUGCAGCAAAUCAGAAGAAGGGUUCAAAGGGCUGGCUUCUAGACAGUGGGUGCACAAACCACAUGUCACCAGAUGCAACUAUCUUCAAAACCCUGGACAGAACCUGCAAAACCAAGGUAAAAAUUAGAAAUGGUCAGUUGAUUAAUGCUGAAGGAAGAGGAGAUGUGCUGAUUCAUACCUCUACAGGUGGCAAAAUCAUUUCAAAUGUACUUUUGGUACCUGAAAUCGAUAGGAACCUUCUCAGUAUAACUCAACUACUUGAGAAAGGUUACUCAGUUGUGUUCAAGGAGAAAGAAUGUCAAAUUUUUUAUCCAAGUGGAUCAAACCUCAUAACAGUCACCAUGACUGAUAAAUGUUUUGAAGUAGACUGGCCAAAUGACUUACAUUCAGCCUGCAUAGCCUCCACUGAUGACUCUAGACUCUGGCAUCAGAGGCUUGGACAUACAAACUACAAAUCCAUAGCCCGCAUGGUCAAUGAAGGUCUGGCAGAAAAUUUCAUCGAUUCAGUGAAGAAUGAUGAGCUUUGUGAGAUAUGUCAGCAAGGAAAAUUGGCAAGAUUGCCAUUUCCAACAAGCACAACAUGGAGAGCAUCAGAGAAGCUCCAGCUUGUGCAUACAGAUGUGUGUGGACCAAUGAAGACUGAGUCUCUCAAAGGAAGCAGGUACUUUAUUCUAUUUAUUGAUGACUUUACAAUAUACUGCUGGAUUUAUUUUCUAAAACAGAAAUCAGAAGUUCCAUCUGUGUUCCUGAAGUAUAAAGCUGCUGUUGAAACUGAGUCUGGUUGCAAACUUAGAGCAAUGAGGUCAGAUAAUGGAACUGAGUACACCUCAGCUCAGUUCCAAGCCUACUGUGAAGAAGCAGGUAUCAA